Molecule: ribosomal RNA, 497 nt
Filed under: uncultured bacterium
Lineage: Bacteria
Description: partial 16S ribosomal RNA
Rfam family: Bacterial small subunit ribosomal RNA
Source: RNAcentral
GAUGAACGCUGGCGGCGUGCCUAAUACAUGCCAGUCGAGCGAACAGACGAGGAGCUUGCUUCUCUGAUGUUAGCGGCGGACGGGUGAGUAACACGUGGAUAACCUACCUAUAAGACUGGGAUAACUUCGGGAAACCGGAGCUAAUACCGGAUAAUAUUUUGAACCGCAUGGUUCAAUAGUGAAAGACGGUUUUGCUGUCACUUAUAGAUGGAUCCGCGCUGCAUUAGCUAGUUGGUAAGGUAACGGCUUACCAAGGCAACGAUGCAUAGCCGACCUGAGAGGGUGAUCGGCCACACUGGAACUGAGACACGGUCCAGACUCCUACGGGAGGCAGCAGUAGGGAAUCUUCCGCAAUGGGCGAAAGCCUGACGGAGCAACGCCGCGUGAGUGAUGAAGGUCUUCGGAUCGUAAAACUCUGUUAUUAGGGAAGAACAAAUGUGUAAGUAACUAUGCACAUCUUGACGGUACCUAAUCAGAAAGCCACGGCUAACUACGUG